AGAGUUUGAUCCUGGCUCAGAACAAACGCUGGCGGCGUGCCUAAUACAUGCAAGUCGAACGGGGAAAGUAGCAAUAUGAGUACUAGUGGCGCACGGGUGAGUAACGCGUGGAUAAUCUGCCUUAGAGUGGGGGAUAACGAGUCGAAAGAUUCGCUAAUACCGCAUAAGACCACAAGAACUGCGGUUCAAGGGGUCAAAGG
This 200-nucleotide ribosomal RNA is filed under the name uncultured bacterium. Its description in RNAcentral is "partial 16S ribosomal RNA". It matches the Rfam family "Bacterial small subunit ribosomal RNA", at positions 8 to 207 of the family's 1533-position model. The record is from RNAcentral.